CCACAGCUGAGUGCAAUGUGCUGAAUGCAAGGAAAGCAACAGCUUUUACUCCCUAGAAUGCUCAACCUGCCCACAGGAGCAAGCAGCACCAUUUGCUAUGAGCAGACCUGGGGGAAGAACGCAUACCCAAUACAGGAUAACAGAGACUGGAGAGCAGAAAGCACAUGGAUCCCAAAGCACCGGCUGAGCAAAGAGAGCAGCGCAGCAACAAUUAAGGUCUUUAUAGCUGCAACUAGCAGGAGCAGGUAUUGUCCGUGGGGUCAGGGGAUGGCAUUUAAUUGGAUGGGAUCUCAAGCAGCAAGGGUAUCCUGGGCAGCAGCAGCACAGGGUGGGGGAACCACACCUGAAAAUGAGUAAUGUUUCUGUGAGGAAUUACAUCACAAUGAUCAGGACUGCAUAAAGUUCAUUAAAUGUUACACCUAAAGACUGAGGUUAAUUACCACCUUCCAAAAUGGAGAACACUCCACAAGUGGGUACCAACUUCAGAAGAGAAAAUCAUGGUUUGUGUUACAACAACUGUAAUGAGAUAGAAAGUGCAGUAAUAACAGCAUUGUAACAAAACCCAAGGCCGCAAAGAUACACUCAGAUGCAGCAGCUGUGGACAUAGAAACAAAAAUAAGAAUCUGCUUACUCUUAGAAGACCUCAGCUACAUAGAGAUCUCCAACAAGAAAUACUCACUUCCAGUGCCAACCCUUAAAUGAGGUCUGGGAAGAAAAGGAUCCUGGCUCCACCCCUUUCAGUCACUCAGGUACAUUGCAUGCACCUGAGCUCCCCUGGGCUGACUCUGCCUUCACACCAGGUGUUCCAUCACUGCUUCAGGUCAUGACAGCAUUUUCCCUACAGCAUCAAGUAUUACUGAAGUAACACAGCUUGUAUAUGAGUUAAUGUUAUUUAUGUACUGCAAUCUUAUGGUUCCCAGCAAUGUUUUUACACAUGUAGCUGCAGUGGGCAUCCUGCUGCUUCCCAUGGCACUGCAGGUGCUCACCCCAUGAGUAGUGGGAAUGAGAAGGUGAGUGCCUGCUGCAGCCAUGAGAUCUGGAUUAUCACAGAUCUGAUUCCAAAGAUUUCAACAAUGUUCAAUAACUCCGUGGUUUCGGUUAUAUAUGAGGUGUGCCCAUGUGAGUGCAGCACACAGCUGGGCUCCAGUAUCUCAGAGCCCUGGCAAGAGCAGCCUGGCCCCAGGAACAACUCAGGCUACGUACACAUACUGUACUUAGUACUCAGGAAACGUCACAUCUGAAUCCCACAGAACUCAGGGGUGAAAACAUCAUGCCAUCUUUGUGUCUUUCUGUUUCAGCAAUGAUAGACAGUUUCUCAGUUCAGUUUGUGCCUUAAUUCUGUCAGGACACAGAACUAUAAUGCUCUUUCCAGUACUAAUGGAGGACAGCUUACAAACAAUUUCUGGCUGAUCAGUUGUUUACCUGUCCUGCUUUCAUGACAGCUGUAAGAAAGUGCUCUUAAAUGAGAACCAACAGAUGAUAAUUCCCACCUGACAAUGCAGCAUAAAGAAAGGAAGUAAUUCUAUCAGUUUUACUCAGGGCAGUUACACAGUAAAACAGACCUCCGUUCUGUCUUUGGGUCAUUCCCUUCUGUCCUACAAAGGGCAGAAAUGGAGGAACGGUGGCACUGGGUGAGGCUAAUGUAACAUCUGUGAGGUCAUGGAGAGAUGAAAUGGAUGAGGGUCCAGGUAAGUGGGUGGUGAUGGGAAGGGACAUCAGCACACAGGGGUUUGUCUGUGUGGAUGGGAGUGGCAGAACCAGCUUGAGAAAGCCAUGAUCAGGCCAUUACGUUGGAUAAAAAAAUAGACUCAUGGAAUCAUUCAGGUUGGAAAAGACCUUUAAGGUCAUCAAGUCAACUGUCAACCCAUCACACCAUGCCCACUGCACCGCGUUCCUAAGAU
Molecule: long non-coding RNA, 1901 nt
Filed under: Gallus gallus (chicken)
Lineage: Eukaryota; Metazoa; Chordata; Aves; Galliformes; Phasianidae
Description: lncRNA (ENSGALG00010020161.1)
Source: RNAcentral